UCGACACUGGAGAUAUUGUGUGGUUUUACCUCCAGGAGCAUUUUCCUGGAUAAUUACAGCUAUAAAUCUGGCUGAGGCACCUGCAGAGCUCUUCGAGGAGGAGGUCGUCAGCACGUCAGAGGGAGAACAAAGAACUCGCUAAAAACGCACUUGUUGACUGACUGAUGAGAUCACCCAGGAAGUAACAACCAGGUGCAAAUGGGGUCUUCAGAUUUGAGGUUUCUAGGGAAUCGUCAGAAGAGCUGCGUGGCCCAUCAUGAGCUGCGAGGAUCUCAUCAAGAAAACAUCUAAGGGCUGUAAUUAUUCAAUCCUGCUGCUCAUUAAGAAACCUUCUAUUGCCCAUUCUUCAGAGAGACAAAG
This is a long non-coding RNA of Labeo rohita (rohu), 360 nucleotides long. RefSeq lists it as uncharacterized. The record is from RefSeq and is a predicted model, not a curated record. NCBI's taxonomy places the organism in Eukaryota, Metazoa, Chordata, Actinopteri, Cypriniformes, Cyprinidae. The transcript has 3 exons.